RNAcentral lists this ribosomal RNA (463 nucleotides) under uncultured bacterium. RNAcentral's name for it is "partial 16S ribosomal RNA". It matches the Rfam family "Bacterial small subunit ribosomal RNA", at positions 28 to 507 of the family's 1533-position model. The record is from RNAcentral.
GAUGAACGCUGACAGAAUGCUUAACACAUGCAAGUCUUUGGCGAAGCUGUGCUUGCACAGCCUAGCCAAGGCGGACGGGUGAGUAACGCGUAAGGAACUUGCCCUGCAGUCAGGGAUAACAGACGGAAACGACUGAUAAGACCUGGUAAAGUCAGGCGGACUCAUGUCCAGCCUGAUGAAAAGAGAUGCUGCAGGAGAGCCUUGCGUCCUAUUAGCUUGUUGGUGGGGUAACGGCCCACCAAGGCGAUGAUAGGUAGCCGGCCUGAGAGGGGGGACGGCCACAAGGGGACUGAGAUACGGCCCUUACUCCUACGGGAGGCAGCAGUGGGGAAUAUUGGACAAUGGGGGCAACCCUGAUCCAGCAAUUCUGUGUGCACGAUGAAGGUUUUCGGAUUGUAAAGUGCUUUCAGCAGGGAAGAAAAAAAUGACGGUACCUGCAGAAGAAGCGACGGCUAAAUACGUG